RNAcentral lists this unclassified non-coding RNA (745 nucleotides) under Hevea brasiliensis (rubber tree). The record is from RNAcentral. Lineage: Eukaryota; Viridiplantae; Streptophyta; Magnoliopsida; Malpighiales; Euphorbiaceae.
UAAUAAUAAUAAUAAUAAUAAUUGCUCUAAUGAGCACCACAAGGCAACAAUAUGAACACAAUUUAAAAGUUAAUACCUCUCAAAGGCCUGUAUAAUAAAUAAUAUAAUUCACAUCAUCUUCAUUUCAUACAUCUUCACUCUAAGUCCAACAAUUAAGUUAAAAAGAAUUUAUGAACUUCACAUAGAGUUUAGGACAUGCCAAACUUGGUCCAUGAGAAUAAACAAUUAAACAAAGGUUUACCAAACUCAUAAUGAAAUUCUAAGAUAAUAAAUAUAAAAUUCACCUUAUUUCUGAUUACUUGAAAGAUCUAGGUGAAUAAUAUGAUUAAAGAAGUUACAUCAUAUUUUAUGCAUUUUUUUGUCAACUUAUUUCAUGCUACAUUAUAUAAAAUUUCCAACUAUUUAAGGUUAAUUUCAUUUCAAAUUAACUAUACAAAGCUGAAGGAGUGAAUUUAAUUUCAAACCUGAAAUCUUAUAUUUUUCUAACUGAAUAACAACUUAUUUUAAAAACAUAUCUAAAAAAAAUUAUCAUAUUAAAAUUUCCAUAACUCAAGUCUUAAUUACCAUUUUUAUUAAAUUUCCUAAAUUCCUAAACCUUAUCAUUUUAACUUUGAUUUAACAUAUCAAAAAUAAUUGUUUCUUAUCAAUAAAAUCAAUAAAUACAGUAUUCUUGCUUUCAAACAAAAAACAAAUAGAGUAUUCUUUAGUUUCAUAUUUGCAUAGCUUUAUACUUUCAAUUAAUAAU